GAUGAACGCUGACAGAAUGCUUAACACAUGCAAGUCGAUGGGGAAGUGGUGCUUGCACCAUGGUAACCAUGGCGGACGGGUGAGUAACGCGUAAGGAACUUGCCUGCGGGACUGGGAUAACAGCAGGAAACUGCUGAUAAUACCGGAUAAGGUCAUUAAGCUGCAUAGCUUAGUGAUGAAAGGAGACGCCUGCGGAGAGCCCUGCGUCCUAUUAGCUAGUUGGAGGGGUAACGGCCCACCAAGGCGAAGAUAGGUAGCCGGCCUGAGAGGGUGGACGGCCACAAGGGGACUGAGAUACGGCCCUUACUCCUACGGGAGGCAGCAGUGGGGAAUAUUGGACAAUGGGGGCAACCCUGAUCCAGCAAUUCUGUGUGCACGAAGACGGUUUUCGGAUUGUAAAGUGCUUUCAGCAGGGAAGAAGGAAGUGACGGUACCUGCAGAAGAAGCGACGGCUAAAUACGUG
This 463-nucleotide ribosomal RNA is filed under the name uncultured bacterium. RNAcentral's name for it is "partial 16S ribosomal RNA". It matches the Rfam family "Bacterial small subunit ribosomal RNA", at positions 28 to 507 of the family's 1533-position model. The record is from RNAcentral.